GGGCCUGUAGCUCAGUUGGCCAGAGCGCUACAUUUGCAAUGUAGAGGUCAGCGGUUCGAAGCCGCUCAGGUCCA
Molecule: transfer RNA, 74 nt
Filed under: Pseudomonadota bacterium
Lineage: Bacteria; Pseudomonadati; Pseudomonadota
Also listed under: 1 other name
Description: tRNA-Ala
Rfam family: tRNA
About the family: Transfer RNA (tRNA) molecules are approximately 80 nucleotides in length. Their secondary structure includes four short double-helical elements and three loops (D, anti-codon, and T loops).
Source: RNAcentral